RNAcentral lists this ribosomal RNA (459 nucleotides) under uncultured bacterium. RNAcentral's name for it is "partial 16S ribosomal RNA". It matches the Rfam family "Bacterial small subunit ribosomal RNA", at positions 338 to 795 of the family's 1533-position model. The record is from RNAcentral.
CCUACGGGAGGCAGCAGUGAGGAAUAUUGGUCAAUGGGCGGAAGCCUGAACCAGCCAAGUAGCGUGCAGGAUGACGGCCCUACGGGUUGUAAACUGCUUUUAUACGGGAAUAACGCGCCUUACGUGUAGGGCUUUGCAUGUACCGUAUGAAUAAGGACCGGCUAAUUCCGUGCCAGCAGCCGCGGUAAUACGGAAGGUCCGGGCGUUAUCCGGAUUUAUUGGGUUUAAAGGAAGCGUAGGCCGCAUGUCAAGCGUGCUGUCAAAGCCCGGGGCUCAACCCCGGCCCGCCGUUGAAACUGGCAGUCUCGAGUUGGAGAGAAGUAUGCGGACUGCGCGGUGUAGCGGUGAAAUGCAUAGAUAUCGCGCAGAACUCCGAUUGCGAAGGCAGCAUGCCGGCUCCACACUGACGCUGAGGCACGAAAGCGUGGGUAUCGAACAGGAUUAGAUACCCUGGUAGUC